UACGGGGGGGGCGAGCGUUGUUCGGAAUUACUGGGCGUAAAGGGCUCGUAGGUGGCCAACUAAGUCAUGCGUGAAAUCCCUCGGCUUAACCGGGGAACUGCGUCUGAUACUGGAUGGCUUGAGUUUGGGAGAGGGAUGCGGAAUUCCAGGUGUAGCGGUGAAAUGCGUAGAUAUCUGGAGGAACACCGGUGGCGAAGGCGGCAUCCUGGACCAACACUGACACUGAGGAGCGAAAGCCAGGGGAGCAAACGGG
RNAcentral lists this ribosomal RNA (253 nucleotides) under uncultured bacterium. RNAcentral's name for it is "partial 16S ribosomal RNA". It matches the Rfam family "Bacterial small subunit ribosomal RNA", at positions 524 to 776 of the family's 1533-position model. The record is from RNAcentral.